This 406-nucleotide ribosomal RNA is filed under the name uncultured bacterium. RNAcentral's name for it is "partial 16S ribosomal RNA". It matches the Rfam family "Bacterial small subunit ribosomal RNA", at positions 30 to 526 of the family's 1533-position model. The record is from RNAcentral.
AUUGAACGCUGGCGGCAGGCCUAACACAUGCAAGUCGAACGAGUGGCGGACGGGUGAGUAAUGUCUGGGAAACUGCCUGAUGGAGGGGGAUAACUACUGGAAACGGUAGCUAAUACCGCAUACCAUCAGAGGUGCCCAUAUGGGAUUAGCUGGUUGGUGGGGUAACGGCUCACCAAGGCGCAGAUCCCUAGCUGGUCUGAGAGGAUGACAGUCCACACGGGAACUGCGACACGGUCCAGACUCCUACGGGAGGCAGCAGUGGGGAAUAUUGCACAAUUGGCGCAAGCCUGAUGCAGCCAUGCCGCGUGUAUGAAGAAGGCCUUCGGGUUGUAAAGUACUUUCAGCGGGGAGGCGUUACCCGCAGAAGAAGCACCGGCUAACUCCGUGCCAGCCGCCGCGGUAAUUC